AGGCCCGCUGUAAAUCGCGGGUU
Molecule: small nuclear RNA, 23 nt
Filed under: Arabidopsis thaliana (thale cress)
Lineage: Eukaryota; Viridiplantae; Streptophyta; Magnoliopsida; Brassicales; Brassicaceae
Description: snRNA_11221
Source: RNAcentral